UAUCAAUAAGCGGAGGAAAAGAAACCAACAGGGAUUGCCCUAGUAACGGCGAGUGAAGCGGCAACAGCUCAAAUUUGAAAUCGGCCCACCGGUCGAGUUGUAAUUUGCACAGGAUGCUUCUGGGCAGCGGCCGGUCUAAUUUCCUUGGAACAGGACGUCAUAGAGGGUGAGAAUCCCGUAUGUGACUGGCGCGCACCCUCCACGUAGCUCCUUCGACGAGUCGAGUUGUUUGGGAAUGCAGCUCUAAAUGGGAGGUAAAUUUCUUCUAAAGCUAAAUAUUGGCCAGAGACCGAUAGCGCACAAGUAGAGUGAUCGAAAGAUGAAAAGCACUUUGGAAAGAGAGUUAAAAAGCACGUGAAAUUGUUGAAAGGGAAGCGCUUGCCACCAGACUUGACGGCGGGGUUCCGCCGGUCUUUUGACCGGUCCACUCCCCGCCGGCAGGCCAACAUCGUCUGGGGCCGCCGGAUAAGACGUUAGGAAUGUAGCUCCUCGGAGUGUUAUAGCCUCUCGUGAUACGGUGCGCCCCGGGCGAGGUCCGCGCUUCGGCAAGGAUGUUGGCGUAAUGGUUGUCAGCGGCCCGUCUUGAAACACGG
RNAcentral lists this ribosomal RNA (593 nucleotides) under fungal sp. RS1. RNAcentral's name for it is "eukaryotic LSU rRNA". It matches the Rfam family "Eukaryotic large subunit ribosomal RNA", at positions 41 to 664 of the family's 3401-position model. The record is from RNAcentral. Lineage: Eukaryota; Fungi.